Long non-coding RNA from Pan troglodytes (chimpanzee), 266 nucleotides. RefSeq lists it as uncharacterized. The transcript is spliced from 2 exons. NCBI's taxonomy places the organism in Eukaryota, Metazoa, Chordata, Mammalia, Primates, Hominidae. The record is from RefSeq and is a predicted model, not a curated record.
UUGUUUUAUUUUUUGUAGAGAUGAGGUUCCUACUAUGUUGCCCAGGCUGGUCUCAAACUCGUGGGUUCAAGCAGUCUUGCUGCCUCAGCCCCACAAAGUGCUGUGAUUACAGUGGCGACUGAUCUGCUUACAGUUCUUCAUGCAUCAGUUCUGGCAUAUAACUUGAAGAUUUGAAAGAACCCAAUUGCUAAGCUUUCUUGAGCAUCUAGUCUAUUGUGAGUUAUAUGGUCUUGGUAAUUAAAUAAACAGGAACAAUUUGAGAACAA